Molecule: ribosomal RNA, 459 nt
Filed under: uncultured bacterium
Lineage: Bacteria
Description: partial 16S ribosomal RNA
Rfam family: Bacterial small subunit ribosomal RNA
Source: RNAcentral
CCUACGGGAGGCUGCAGUGAGGAAUAUUGGUCAAUGGGCGGGAGCCUGAACCAGCCAAGCCGCGUGCAGGAAGAAGGUACUUUGUAUUGUAAACUUCUUUUGUCGGGGAACAAAGGCGGAGACGUGUCUCCGGCUGAGAGUACUCGAAGAAAAAGCAUCGGCUAACUCCGUGCCAGCAGCCGCGGUAAUACGGAGGAUGCGAGCGUUAUCCGGAUUUAUUGGGUUUAAAGGGUGCGCAGGCGGGCGAAAAAGUCAGCGGUAAAAUGUCGGGGCUCAACCCCGGCCUGCCGUUGAAACUGGUUUUCUAGAGUGGGAGAGAGGUAGGCGGAAUGCAUGGUGUAGCGGUGAAAUGCAUAGAGAUCACGAAGAACACCGAUUGCGAAGGCAGCAUACCGGCUCCAUACUGACGUUGAGGCACGAAAGCGUGGGGAGCGAACAGGAUUAGAUACCCGAGUAGUC